GAGCUGAACUUAGCCCAACAUAAUUACAAUUAAACAUUCAACAUAAACUAAAACAAAACAUUUAUCAUCCAUAAAAGUAUAGGAGAUAGAAAUUCUAACUUGGCGCUAUAGAGAUAGUACCGUAAGGGAAUAAUGAAAGAAUUAUCCAAAGCAACAAACAGCAAAGAUUACCCCUUGUACCUUUUGCAUAAUGAUUUAACCAGAAACAGUCUAGCAAAGAGAACUUAAGUUAGCUACCCCGAAACCAGACGAGCUAUCCAUGAGCAGCCCUACAGAGCAAACUCAUCUAUGUGGCAAAAUAGUGAAAAGACUUAUGGAUAGAGGUGAUAAGCCUAUCGAGCCUGGUGAUAGCUGGUUAUCCAGAAAAGAACUUUAGUUCAAACUUAAACUUACCUAAAACCCACUACAAUUCCACUGUAAGUUUAAGUAAUAGUCUAAAAGGGGACAGCCUUUUAGACACAGGCCACAACCUUAACUAGUGAGUAAAUAAUAAAACAUACCAUAGUGGGCCUAAAAGCAGCCACCAAUAAAGAAAGCGUUCAAGCUCAACAAUACCAUAUUAUCUUAAUACCCAAAAUAACUAUUAACUCCUAGCAUAAAACUGGAUCACUCUAUAUCUAUAUAGAAGAAAUAAUGUUAAUAUGAGUAACAAGAAAUAACUUUCUCCUACGCACAAGUGUAUAUCAGAACGGAUACCCACUGAUAGUUAACACAACUAAAGAAAAUCUAAUAACAAGCUCUUUACACACCAAAUGUUAACCCAACACAGGAGUGCUUACAAGGAAAGAUUAAAAAGAGCAAAAGGAACUCGGCAAACAUAAACCCCGCCUGUUUACCAAAAACAUCACCUCCAGCAUGCAUAGUAUUGGAGGCACUGCCUGCCCAGUGACUUAAACGUUCAACGGCCGCGGUAUCCUGACCGUGCAAAGGUAGCAUAAUCACUUGUUCUCUAAAUAAGGACUUGUAUGAAUGGCCACACGAGGGUUUUACUGUCUCUUGCUCUCAAUCAGUGAAAUUGACCCCCCCGUGAAGAGGCGGGGAUACCCCAAUAAGACGAGAAGACCCUAUGGAGCUUUAAUUAAUUAAUCCAAAUCCACUUGUCUAAAACCAAAAGGAAUAACAACUAACUUUAAGAUGGGUUAAUAAUUUAGGUUGGGGUGACCUCGGAGCAUAACAAAACCUCCGAGUGAUUCAAAUCUAGACUUACUAGUCAAAACCAAAUCACAUAUUGAUCCAAUACAUUUGAUCAACGAAACAAGUUACCCUAGGGAUAACAGCGCAAUCCUAUUUAAGAGUCCCUAUCGACAAUAGGGUUUACGACCUCGAUGUUGGAUCAGGACAUCCCAAUGGUGCAGCCGCUAUUAAUGGUUCGUUUGUUCAACGAUUAAAGUCCUACGUGAUCUGAGUUCAGACCGGAGCAAUCCAGGUCGGUUUCUAUCUAUUUUAUGUCUCUCCCAGUACGAAAGGACAAGAGAGACGAGGCCUACCUAACCAUAGGCGCCUUCAAGCAACAAACAGAUGAUAUAAUCUUAAUCUGAUCUAUCAUAAUUAUCGACCCCCUAGACCCAGGGUU
This 1573-nucleotide ribosomal RNA is filed under the name Macrotus waterhousii (Waterhouse's leaf-nosed bat). Its description in RNAcentral is "16S ribosomal RNA". It matches the Rfam family "Bacterial large subunit ribosomal RNA". Lineage: Eukaryota; Metazoa; Chordata; Mammalia; Chiroptera; Phyllostomidae. The record is from RNAcentral.